Molecule: ribosomal RNA, 253 nt
Filed under: uncultured bacterium
Lineage: Bacteria
Description: partial 16S ribosomal RNA
Rfam family: Bacterial small subunit ribosomal RNA
Source: RNAcentral
UACGUAGGGUGCAAGCGUUGUCCGGAAUUAUUGGGCGUAAAGAGCUCGUAGGCGGUGUGUCGCGUCGGCUGUGAAAACCUGGGGCUCAACCCUGGGCUUGCAGCUGAUACGGGCAGACUGGAGUUCGGCAGGGGAGACUGGAAUUCCUGGUGUAGCGGUGAAAUGCGUAGAUAUCUGGAGGAACACCGGUGGCGAAGGCGGCAUCCUGGACCGGCAUUGACGCUGAGGAGCGAAAGCCAGGGGAGCAAACGGG